This is an unclassified non-coding RNA of Anser brachyrhynchus (Pink-footed goose), 186 nucleotides long. The record is from Ensembl. Lineage: Eukaryota; Metazoa; Chordata; Aves; Anseriformes; Anatidae.
CUGACAGCCCCAAGGGCUGAAGCCCUCUCCUAACCACAGAAAAGAUAUAGUGAAAGCAGUAGUGGGAUAUACCUCACCACAUUGCCAUGCACAUAUAGGCCUCAAGCCUGUUUCUGAGGGGUCACUUCUAAACUGGCAGAAUAAUUCAAUAGUACAUCCCUCACUGCUUAUCUGGAUUUGGAGGAG